CACAGGGUAGAAGUCUAUGCGUUAAGGAUCACAAAAACGGAAUGUGGGUUGUGAUUGAAAAAUUUAUUCAAAAGCUCUUUGGAGUUAUUAAAGAAUAAGUUUGCGAUGUAGGUUUCGCAUUCACUGAC
This 128-nucleotide non-coding RNA is filed under the name Weissella koreensis. RNAcentral's name for it is "THF-I sequence". It matches the Rfam family "THF (Tetrahydrofolate) riboswitch aptamer". Rfam says of the family: THF riboswitch presents a pseudoknot that joins P1-P2 and the loop of P3 and two THF binding. The record is from Rfam by way of RNAcentral. Lineage: Bacteria; Bacillati; Bacillota; Bacilli; Lactobacillales; Lactobacillaceae.